CUACAGCAUAGUAGAGCGUGUGUCAUUUAUAGGUAGUAGCAUAUCAUAGCGGAGGAGGGCCUACAACUAUGGUCUUUUAUAGGAAGGAAGGGAUCCUCGUCUUGAGGGAGGGGGGGGGUCCUUUAAACGAAGGAAGAAGACCCUGCUCCCAACAAAGGAGAAAGCCCUUGCUAUGUAAUUUUACACGCACAUAUUAAAAGUUAUAGAAUGAUAUAUAGCGUGUAACAGCACAAAUAAAUAUACAACUUUCAGCAACGGAUCUCUUGGCUCUCGCAUCGAUGAAGAACGCAGCGAAAUGCGAUAAGUAAUGUGAAUUGCAGAAUUCAGUGAAUCAUCGAAUCUUUGAACGCACCUUGCGCUCCUUGGUAUUCUGAGGAGCAUGCCUGUUUGAGUGUCAUGAAAUUCUCAUCUGCUUUAUUUUUUGUGGUUGAAGUGAAGUUGGACUUGGAGGAAUCAUUGCUGGCGUGACCUUUUAGGUUGCUUGUUAGCUCCUCUUAAAUGGAUGAACUUUCCAUUUACAAAGUAACAUCAAUUGUGAUAAUUAUCUACGUUGGGAUGGAGGUUGGUACUAGGAAAGGUAUAUCUUUGGAAGUUCCAAUCCUUGGAUGAAACCAAAUGACAAAUUUGACCUCCAAUCAGGGAAGGACUACCCCGCUGAAACUUAAGCAUAUCAAUAAGCGGAGAGAGAUUG
Molecule: ribosomal RNA, 691 nt
Filed under: uncultured Pseudotomentella
Lineage: Eukaryota; Fungi; Basidiomycota; Agaricomycetes; Thelephorales; Thelephoraceae
Description: eukaryotic LSU rRNA
Rfam family: 5.8S ribosomal RNA (bases 244-397)
Source: RNAcentral